GCACUGCUGAGGAGUCCCAAAAUACGACGAAAUGGCCGUCCAGUGC
This is a non-coding RNA of Schistosoma margrebowiei, 46 nucleotides long. Lineage: Eukaryota; Metazoa; Platyhelminthes; Trematoda; Strigeidida; Schistosomatidae. The record is from Rfam.